RNAcentral lists this ribosomal RNA (422 nucleotides) under uncultured Mucinivorans sp. RNAcentral describes it as "bacterial SSU rRNA". It matches the Rfam family "Bacterial small subunit ribosomal RNA", at positions 355 to 774 of the family's 1533-position model. Lineage: Bacteria; Pseudomonadati; Bacteroidota; Bacteroidia; Bacteroidales; Rikenellaceae. The record is from RNAcentral.
UGAGGAAUAUUGGUCAAUGGAGGCAACUCUGAACCAGCCAUGCCGUGUGCAGGAAGACGGCCCUCCGGGUUGUAAACUGCUUUUAUUCGGGAAUAAACCACGCCACGUGUAGCGUGCUGAACGUACCGAAGGAAUAAGGAUCGGCUAACUCCGUGCCAGCAGCUGCGGUAAUACGGAGGAUUCAAGCGUUAUCCGGAUCUAUUGGGUUUAAAGGGUGCGUAGGCGGUUUUUUAAGUUAGUCGUUAAAUCUCUGAGCUCAACUCAGACAUGGCGAUUAAUACUGGAGAACUAGAGAUUAGUUGCAGAGGGCGGAAUGUGUAGUGUAGCGGUGAAAUGCUUAGAUAUUACACAGAACACCGAUUGCGAAGGCAGCUCUCUAAGCUACAUCUGACGCUGGGGCACGAAAGCGUGGGGAUCAAACA